AUCCAACUGACAAGUCCCAAAUAGGACGAAACUGGUGUUCUGGAU
This 45-nucleotide non-coding RNA is filed under the name Schistosoma margrebowiei. Lineage: Eukaryota; Metazoa; Platyhelminthes; Trematoda; Strigeidida; Schistosomatidae. The record is from RNAcentral.